RNAcentral lists this long non-coding RNA (1684 nucleotides) under Daphnia magna. RNAcentral describes it as "uncharacterized LOC123477043". Lineage: Eukaryota; Metazoa; Arthropoda; Branchiopoda; Diplostraca; Daphniidae. The record is from RNAcentral.
CUAGUAAAGAGAAACAAAUGUAUCAUCCUCCAGCUUUAGGUUUUUCCUGCUAAUUUAAGAAUACUAAAAAAGUCACUUUAUAAACAUUAAUACCAAUUUGUCAAAUACCUUAAACAUCUUUUUACAAUCUUUUCCAUGAUGCUUGGUUGGCAUCAAGACAUCCUAUGUUCCAAGAAGAAGGAAAAUAUUUACGAUACAAGAUUCAUCUCAAGAAAGUCCACAGCCACAAAUUUCCUUAAGGGAAGAGUCUUUUAACACUGUGUAGUCCUAUGUUCAAUAACAGUUUAGGUCACUUACAUGAAGCCAGCAUCGUGCAGAUCAGCAUGAUGAGCAGAUUUUUUCCACUGUCUAUUUAUGUAUAUAUUAUAUAUAUAUAUGUACGAUUCAAAUGACUAUCUAUGUCUAGUGAAAAUCGACUUUCAAACAAUUGUAUGUCGUGAAAAGGAUGCUCCUUCAGGUUUGGUACCUAAAAAUUGCAACUUUCUUUGGAUUGACGAGGAGCACAAAAGAAAGAUUAAUACGGAACGAGAACGUUUAUUUGCUACCCCAUAACACGUGUCGAAUCUUUGUAAUUAUGUCACAAAUUCGUCUGCUUGUCUAUUGGAAACGUUGAAAUCGAUAAAAAACUUGAAAGAAAAAUUAUAAUCAAUAUUCAAUAGUAAUUCAAAUUUCUCUUGUUGAUAUCGUUAGAUAACGCUGUUACUGAUUUAUGAUUAUUUACAACAACAACAAAAUAAAUAAUGGUGCUGCCUGGGUUGCUGAAAAUUUAGGGGGUUAUUUGGCAUUCCGUGGGUUUGACGAGAAAACAAAUAACUUAAGCAAAAUCAGUGUUCAAAUUUGAUAGUACCGUGUGUUUUUUUUUCUCCAAGGCUAUCGGGAAAUACGUGAACACCGAGAGCCGUUGAUUAGAACAGUCGACAUAGGCAGCACACAAGUUUUACAAUAGGAGGAAUUGAAAUGUGGUCAGUAACGGCAGCUACAAAAGUGAAAACAGUACCUUCCUGGCUUGUCAUCCUAGCAAGAGUCUUCUCGUAAUUGCUAACAAUAGUGAUUGGAAUAUUCCCCGACCUUUUGCGAACAUACAAUGAGAUGUUACAGCCAACAAAAUUGGUGGCUACAUUCAAUUGAUUAAUCAGGAGCCAGAGUUAAGCGGAGACGAAAAAAUUUAGUAGAUGAAGGUGAAAUCUAGAAUGUCAACGGCUAAUUUCUGUGUUAUUUUAGCACAUUGGCUCGCCGCAAUGGAAGUAAACAAACAAAAAACAGUAAAAACCUUCACGUUUAAUAAAUGCAGCUACAGCGCUGAAUAUAUAUAGCGAGGAACAAAGGAAAUAUUCAAGGAAUACACAAGUUAAUAAUUAUUAAAACAAUUGCGAAAAUAGUAGAGAAAUUGCCAUAUAAAAGAAUAAGGAGACCCAGCCCAGUGAUGUUUUGUUUUUUUAGGAGAUUUACAAAAGACACAAUCGGCACAACUCAUUAAAAAAAAUAAAAUAAAAAAAUACAUUGUUUUGUGACGGUAGUCUUCUUUUUUUCUUUCCAAAUUAAAAAGACAAUUAAAAAGAGAUCGCACUCAGUUUUUUUCAAAAAGAUUACUUUACAAUAAUACGAUACAAAUAUAUAGGUCGAUUGCCUCCAAACAGUUCAACAUUGUUUUCGCUCGUACAAAUUUAAAAGAAAACCCGCUCAU